Culex pipiens pallens (northern house mosquito) is the source of this 308-nucleotide long non-coding RNA. RefSeq lists it as uncharacterized. Lineage: Eukaryota; Metazoa; Arthropoda; Insecta; Diptera; Culicidae. The transcript has 3 exons. The record is from RefSeq and is a predicted model, not a curated record.
AUUGUUGCUCAGUGCCAAUCGAGUUAGUUUGAGUGAAACUCAAGCACAAUUUUACACAGAAAAAUGAGUCCCUCGUUAGUUAUACUGCUGGCCGCUGUCACAACGAUGGCCCUCGUUAUCGGACUUACCAGAAGUGAGGAUCAGGUUCAGGACCCAACAGGGAUGACCAAAACUUUUAACACCUGGUUUUAUCUUUGUUUACUCGGACUUUGUGGAAGAUAAGUUAAACUUAAAUUUUUUGAAAUUGUAUUGACAAACCUGAUAAACUGUAUCUAAAAUGAAAUGAUGUUUUUUGAUAGAAAAAAAAG